AUGAACGCUGGCGGCGUGCCUAAUACCUGCCAGUCGAGCGAACAGACGAGGAGCUUGCUCCUCUGACGUUAGCGGCGGACGGGUGAGUAACACGUGGAUAACCUACCUAUAAGACUGGGAUAACUUCGGGAAACCGGAGCUAAUACCGGAUAACAUGUUGAACCGCAUGGUUCAACAGUGAAAGACGGUCUUGCUGUCACUUAUAGAUGGAUCCGCGCCGCAUUAGCUAGUUGGUAAGGUAACGGCUUACCAAGGCAACGAUGCGUAGCCGACCUGAGAGGGUGAUCGGCCACACUGGAACUGAGACACGGUCCAGACUCCUACGGGAGGCAGCAGUAGGGAAUCUUCCGCAAUGGGCGAAAGCCUGACGGAGCAACGCCGCGUGAGUGAAGAAGGUCUUCGGAUCGUAAAACUCUGUUAUUAGGGAAGAACAAAUGUGUAAGUAACUAUGCACGUCUUGACGGUACCUAAUCAGAAAGCCACGGCUAACUACGUG
This 496-nucleotide ribosomal RNA is filed under the name uncultured bacterium. RNAcentral describes it as "partial 16S ribosomal RNA". It matches the Rfam family "Bacterial small subunit ribosomal RNA", at positions 29 to 507 of the family's 1533-position model. The record is from RNAcentral.